CUACAUAUGAAUUUUCGGGGGACAAAAAUAUUCAAUCCAUAGCCCUCUGGCUCAUCCCAGCUGAUUUAGGGCUGACUUGUUAAUAAGCAAGCAGUUAGGAAGACAUACUAAGCUCAAACGCAAAAGUUUGUAGCUUUUGUUCUCAAAGAUGGUUGCUACACUUCUAAGCACUGAGUCUCUCUUCCAAUCAAGAAGAAGGAAGAAAGAAUUAAAGGUUAAAGAGGUAUGUCGGCUGAGCCUGUGCUCUUUAAAAGCUUUCCCAGAAACGCCAGUCACCCAGUUCUGGUUAAUUUUGAAUGAUUGGAAGUGAGUUACAUGGCCAUCUCCUCAUGCAGGAGAUUCUGGAAGCAACCAGCCCACCAUCCUUAGGUGCUUUCCAAAAGUCAUCUCAUCAGCUUGACAGAAGACACCUUUAUCACUGUCAACACUUCCGAAAUUCCAAGGGUUUUGGGAGCAAUGAGCCAGGAACAUGGAGGAAAACCAAAGCCAAUGAAAAUAAGUUGAUUCCUCAUAAUUUUCCUCUGGCCUUGAUCCUCAGGAAUCCCAGAGGAUAAGCAUCUCUCCCUAAACUAAGGAUUAAUUAGUGACCUGCUAUGCUCACCUUGUGACCACCCACCUUGUGACCACCGACCUGCUGUGUUCACCAAUCUGCCAUGCCAGCAAAGCAAUCUCCUAACUAUUGUAAAAGGGACACUCCUGUCAUGUGAUGCAUGCUCUUUGUUGUAAGACAGUAUACAACCAGUCUGUACACCCCACUUCUUUGGGUUCCUGAGGAAGGCAGACCCCGGG
Molecule: long non-coding RNA, 789 nt
Filed under: Equus caballus (horse)
Lineage: Eukaryota; Metazoa; Chordata; Mammalia; Perissodactyla; Equidae
Description: lncRNA (ENSECAG00000035480.3)
Source: RNAcentral